Molecule: non-coding RNA, 47 nt
Organism: Branchiostoma floridae (Florida lancelet)
Lineage: Eukaryota; Metazoa; Chordata; Leptocardii; Amphioxiformes; Branchiostomatidae
Source: Rfam
CCCCCGGCCCUUUUCAGGGCCACCCCAAAUCUUCCCUAAAGAACUGU